GACGAACGCUGGCGGCGUGCUUAACACAUGCAAGUCGAACGGAAAGGCCCUGCUUUUGUGGGGUGCUCGAGUGGCGAACGGGUGAGUAUCACGUGAGUAACCUGCCCUUGACUUUGGGAUAACUUCAGGAAACUGGGGCUCAUAUCGGAUAGGAGCUCCUGCUGCAUGGUGGGGGUUGGAAAGUUUCGGCGGUUGGGGAUGGACUCGCGGCUUAUCAGCUUGUUGGUGGGGUAGUGGCUUACCAAGGCUUUGACGGGUAGCCGGCCUGAGAGGGUGACCGGCCACAUUGGGACUGAGGUACGGCCCGGACUCCUACGGGAGGCAGCAGUGGGGAAUAGUGCACGAUGGGCGGAAGCCUGGUGCAGCAACGCCGCGUGCGGGAUGACGGCCUUCGGGUUGUAAACCGCUUUCGCCUGUGACGAAGCGUGAGUGACGGUAAUGGGUAAAGAAGCACCGGCUAACUACGUG
This 468-nucleotide ribosomal RNA is filed under the name uncultured bacterium. RNAcentral describes it as "partial 16S ribosomal RNA". It matches the Rfam family "Bacterial small subunit ribosomal RNA", at positions 28 to 507 of the family's 1533-position model. The record is from RNAcentral.